CCCAUUAGUGUAUUAAGCUCAUUCUGUUCAUAUUCAUUCAUAUUAACCCAAGACUGAUUUUACAGUGAUAUUUACCCCAUCCUGUUAAAACUGGUUCAGUCAGACUGCGGUGAUUGACCAGACAGUCAUAAGAUCCUUCAUGGUUUCUGUUGAUCUUCACACUGAUUCUCAUCUGAAAGGUUUCAUCAUCAUUUGGUCUGAUUCCAGAAGAUGUUUGAUCCUCAAGGAUGUUUCUGUUCAAUCUAAUGUUCAUCUGAACAUCUCUGGGGUAGAAACCAGUGGCCAGACACGUCAGAACCAGAUUACUGUGAUCAUCAGGAGAUUUCCUCGCA
This is a long non-coding RNA of Ctenopharyngodon idella (grass carp), 332 nucleotides long. RefSeq lists it as uncharacterized. The transcript has 2 exons. The record is from RefSeq and is a predicted model, not a curated record. NCBI's taxonomy places the organism in Eukaryota, Metazoa, Chordata, Actinopteri, Cypriniformes, Xenocyprididae.